GGAAGUUGCGCUUCCGCCAUUUUGUUGCCCGCCAUGGCGGCCGUGUCGAGUUUGGGGCCGGGACGCGGCGCUUUUGACUGAGGGGGUAGGCCGGGCGGAGGCGUCGGGGACACCCGCGCGGCGCAGAAGAGGACCGGCCUGGACGCCGGGGACGCUGUCAUGUACGGCGCGAGCGGAGGCCGUGCCAAAGCCGAGAGGAAAAGCGGCGCCAAAGAGGAGGCCGGGCCCGGCGGUGCCGGCGGUGGGGGAAACCGAGCGGAGCUGCUGGUCUUCGGCUAUGCGUGCAAGCUGUUCCGGGACGACGAGCGGGCUCUGGCCCAGGAGCAGGGACAGCACCUCAUCCCCUGGAUGGGGGACCACAAGAUCCUCAUCGACAGAUAUGAUGGGCGCGGUCACCUGCAUGACCUUUCUGAGUACGAUGCUGAGUAUUCCACAUGGAACCGAGAUUACCAGCUCUCUGAAGAGGAGGCACGAAUAGAUGCCCUGUGUGAUGAAGAGAGGUAUUUAGCCUUGCAUACGGACUUGCUUGAGGAGGAGGCAAGGCAAGAGGAAGAAUACAAGCGAUUGAGUGAAGCGCUGGCGGAGGAUGGGAGCUAUAACGCGGUGGGAUUCACUUACGGCAGUGACUAUUACGACCCGUCGGAGCCGACAGAGGAGGAGGAGCCCUCCAAACAGAGAGAAAAAAAUGAGGCUGAAAACAUAGAGGAAAACGAGGAGCCUUUCAUUGCCCCUCUGGGGCUGAACGUGCCGCCUGACGUGGAGCUGCCACCAACAGCUAAAAUGCAUGCUAUCAUUGAGCGCACAGCCAAUUUCGUGUGCAAACAGGGAGCACAGUUUGAAAUAAUGCUGAAAGCCAAGCAGGCCCGAAACUCUCAAUUCGACUUUCUACGCUUUGAUCACUACCUCAACCCCUACUACAAAUUCAUCCAGAAAGCCAUGAAAGAAGGACGCUAUACGGUGCUGGCGGAAAACAGAAACGAAGAGAAAAAGAAGUCGGGGGUCAGCUCUGAUGAUGACGACGACGAAGGAGAUGGGAGUUACCUGCACCCGUCUCUCUUUGCUUCCAAGAAGUGUGACCGCCUGGAGGAGCUGAUGAAGCCUCUGAAGGUGGUGGACCCGGAUCACCCCCUUGCCGUGCUGGUCCGUAAAGCCCAGGCCGACAGCCCCGCCCCCACCCCCCCCGCAGCAGAUGGCACCGUGCAGCCCUCCCAGGUCGAGUACACCGCUGACUCGACCGUGGCCGCCGUGUACUACAGCUACUACAUGCUGCCCGACGGCACCUACUGCCUGGCGCCCCCCCCGCCGGGGGUCGACGUGGCCGCCUACUACAGCACCCUGCCUGCUGGGGGGGCCACCGCCGCCCCGCCACCCCCCGGGACCACGCCCCCACCCCCCCCAACCACAGCAGAGACCAGUAGCGGGGUGACCGCCACCCUCACCACAAGUGCACUUGCUCCCGUGGCGGCCAUCAUCCCCCCGCCCCCCGACAUUCAGCCCGUGAUCGACAAGCUGGCAGAAUACGUGGCUCGCAACGGCCUCAAGUUUGAGACCAGCGUCCGUGCCAAGAACGACCAGAGGUUCGAGUUCCUGCAGCCCUGGCACCAGUAUAACGCCUACUACGAGUUCAAGAAGCAGUUCUUCCUCCAGAAGGAAGGGGGCGACAGGGCACAGGCUGUGUCAGCACCAGAAGAGGCUCCUGCAGAAUCUGCUCCCGAAAAGCCGAGUGACGGUGGGGAGGAGGGUGUGUGUGAAGACUCGGCCGACGCAGCGAGAGGCGGCCCCACGGGGAAGAAGGAGGCGUCAUCCAGUAAGACUGUAGCAGACGGGAAGCUGGUCAAAGCUUCAUUUGCUCCAAUAAGCUUUGCAAUCAAGGCCAAAGAAAAUGAUCUACUUCCCCUGGAAAAAAAUCGUGUUAAGCUAGAUGAUGACAGUGAUGAUGAUGAAGAAGGCAAAGAAGGCCAAGAAAGUUCUAGUAGUGCUACAAACACUAACCCGGCAGUUACCCCACCCUGUGUAGUUGUUGAGGAGAAGCGGCCUCAACUUACCCAGGAGGAGCUAGAAGCGAAGCAAGCAAAGCAAAAGCUGGAGGACCGACUUGCAGCUGCUGCCAGAGAGAAGCUGGCCCAGGCGUCUAAGGAAUCGAAGGAGAAACAGCUUCAAGCAGAACGUAAAAGGAAAGCAGCUUUAUUUUUGCAAACCUUAAAAAAUCCUCUGCCAGAAGCAGAAGUCGGAAAAGUUGAGGAAAAUCCUUUCAGCGUGGAGGAAGCCAGUACUGUGUCCUGUGUGCUACCGGCCGGAGGCAGACCUUUGCCAGCUUCAGACGUUAAACCCCCAGAAGGGCCCUCCAGCAAAAGUAAAGACCCACCAAGGGAAGAAGAGAAGGAGAGGAAGAAGAAAAAGCACAAAAAGCGGUCUCGCACAAGGUCGCGCUCCCCCAAGUACCACUCAUCCUCCAAAUCCAGGCCCAGGUCCCACUCGAAAGCAAAGCACUGUCUCCCCAGUGCCUAUCGGACGGCGCGGCGCUCCAGGUCGCGAUCCCGGUCCCCUCGGAGAAGAGCACACUCUCCCGAGAGACGGAGGGAAGAAAGGAGUGUCCCCACGGCCUACCGGAUGAGUAACAGCCCGGGCGUCAGCAGGAAGCGGACCCGGUCCAGGUUGACAACUUGGGUGAAAUGGACAAAUUCCUGAAAGAUACAAGUGACCACACGGUCAGCAGAAGAAAUAGAAAAUCUAAAUAACCGCGUCUGCCAAAGCAUUUCUGUAUCAUUUAAAACCACCGAACUCCAGGCCCAGAUGGCUUCCAUCAUUAAGUUCUAACAAACAUUCAGGGGAGAAGAGAGACCAGUUUGGGCUCCGUGGCAGUGGCUCCCGAAGAGCACGUGGGCUGGCGGGCACGGCCACGUCGGGAGGGGUGUGCGCACGGGCACGGGGCGCGUGUGGUGUUCACAAACCGAAACGCUGAAGAACACAGCUGCAAAGACGCUAGAGCGCGCCCUGCGAUCUGCACCCAGCAGGGUAGUGUGAGGAGACGCGUCCCGACAAGCGGCUCUGUGUCAGGACUGCGAGGUUCGUUAACGUCCACCAGCGACCCUUGUAAUUCACUGUUUUCACAGAGUAAACGAGGGAAGUCCUAGGACAUCCCAGCAGAUGCAGAAGAGCUGUUGGCCACGCUCGUCAACCGUUCACUAAAAAGAAAACAGGGAGACACGGAGCCCUGAGCUAAGGGAAUGGAAGGAAGCGUCUGGCGGUGAUGGGGGCACACUCGCCGCCCCCAGGACCAGCAGCCGGGUGGCCCAGACAGCAGGGCGAGAACAGGGGAGAGGCAUAAAGACUGGAAAGGAAGCGUUUCCUUCUGCAUUCCAGCCUGGAACAGUUGGGAAGGUGACGUGCGACCAUAUCCAAGUAACAAGCUACUUACGGGGAAACGACUUCUCUACACUGAAAGCCACAAACAUUUCCGAGAAGAGUUCUAAGAACCGUAAGAACACAUAGAGCCCGUGUUUGUGGAUGGGGGAGCAGUGUCCCUCAGGUUCCUUCUCCCUGAAGUGACCUGUCCAUGCAGCACCGCCCCAGCAGGACUCCACAGGUGUUUUGUAGAAAUGGGCGAUCGGGAACUCUCGUCUAUGUGGAAACAUGGAGGACCUGGAGUAGCCACAACGGUCUCGCAGAAGAAUAGGGUUGGAGGCCGCUUCCUGCCAAUUCCAGACUCACAGGGAACCGCCGGGUAAGACCGUGAGCGGACGCCCUAAAAUGGCAGGGUUGCCAAGAAGCUCGGGGAGGAGAGCUUUGCAGCGAAACCCGCUCCAGCAGCUGGCUGUCCAAGCGGAAGAAAGUGGCCUGUUCCACAGGCCACAGCUUAACUCGGAGGGUCACAGACUGCGGCUGAAGGUCCCACGGAUGUGGAAACCCCACCAGGAGGGAGGAGAGUGGUGAGCGUGAGCUUGCUGACCUUCACUCAGUCACGGCGAAGAGCGUGAACAGUCGGACCGCACGCCGGGAACCCUCGCCGUGUCUCUGACAAGGGCCUAUGUCGAUUCCAGACAGAAACCACACGGCUGCGGAGCGAGUGGGUGACUCGAAAGUUCACGAAGCGGUCCACAGACGUAGCCCGCGGAUACGGCCCCGAAGAGCAGCCGAGCGCACUAGCCCCUGCCGGGUUCAGCACAGGUUGGCCGCAGUGGGGCUGGCGAUGGGGGCUGCAGGGGACUGGGAACAGCGGGGCAGCUUCCUGUGACGCCGAGCACCAGCGCCGCCACCCCACGGUCCGUCUCCGUUCACCCACCGGGAACAUUUGUCCACAGAAGCACCUGAUCUGUUGUCGCAAUGGACAACGCACACGCCUGUUCCCGGGAGAGAGCACAGACGUGCUGGCAGGUUGCACACGCGAAUGCUUCGGCAGCAGAAAGCCAACUGGGGACACGGCUCGGCGUGGACGAGUGAUGGGAGCGUGGCACUGUGUGAUUCUGCCUCCGUGAAGCUUUCAUCGAUGGGGCAGAAAUCAGAGCCGUGGUUACCUGUGACCGUGGGGAAGGGGGUCCGCAUGACCGGAGGCAGCAGGGACGGAACUUUCUAGAAAGGUGGUGUUCCUGAUGAGAGGAGUGGGGGUGUCACGGUGUCAACACUUGUCAUCAUGCGUCCGACAGCACUUAAAACCGUCCUGUUUCUCUGGAUGUGAGGUGCACCUCGCUUGUUUUUAGAGGAACGAAUCCCUUAAUUCCUGAAGCGAACGCCGAGGCAGGCUUGUCGUGUGACGUGGCUGUAUUCAGACGGAACCUGACGCGUAGCCGGGAGGGCUCCUGCGUUCACGGGGGCAGCCACAGACUGGCCGGACUUGCACGGCUGUCCCGUGCUGCGGAAUAGUUGUGUAUCUUUGCUGCUGCUUCUGGAAUUAGCAUGUGUUUACAGACCUAAGACUGCACCCAGCUCCUGCAGUUUAGAAACCAGAGGUGUGGCGCGGUUUCCACGUCUGUGUGUCCAGCACUGGGAGCAGCGUCUGCGUUUAUGGACCUCUUCUUCUCCGUGCCGGCCAAGCGGAAGCUGCCGGGCUGCGCCCCGCGGGCCGGCCUUUGUGAACACGGCGGAGUCGGGGUGCUGCAAGCCGUGCCCCGCUGGAGUGUCCCGUGGCUUCAUCGGGGCGCACAUGUGCCUUUGUGCAAGAGCACCGUGGGGAGCCCCGAGGGCAGGGCGAGCAGGCGUAUGGACAGGCCGUGGGUGUCCCCAGGUGCGGAAGGGUCUGUCUCGGAGGCGCCGAGCGGAGGGGGCUGUGCGGGGCUGGCCCUGGACGUCUAACUCCGUGAAGACAUGCAGGCUCCCGCCGUUGUGAGGCCCCGUCACCCACAGGACCCACAUGGGCACCUGUGACGGUCUCAGGACGGCACUGACCACACACAGACCCUACAGCAAGUACUCGGUCGCCCAUCAGUCACCCAUCCGUCAUGUGUGAUGGGGCACAGUUUCCAAAAAGCAGGGGACCGUCAUGUUUGGAGGAAGCAGAGGGGCCACGAGCAGGGAGGCCCGGCGCCAGUCUGGACCACACGUCACUCUUAUCUCCUAAGCCCCCACGAGAAGAAGAAGAAGAGGCGCUCACGGUCACGGACCGAGUCCAAGGCCGGGUCCCAGUCGGCAUCCCCGAGCAAGCAGGCCACACGCCGGCACACGGCCCACUCGGCCAGCAUCUCUCCCGUGGAGAGUC
Molecule: RNA transcript, 5692 nt
Organism: Mirounga angustirostris (Northern elephant seal)
Lineage: Eukaryota; Metazoa; Chordata; Mammalia; Carnivora; Phocidae
Gene: SFSWAP
Gene name: splicing factor SWAP
Exons: 17
Source: RefSeq, a predicted model, not a curated record